RNAcentral lists this ribosomal RNA (624 nucleotides) under Triticum aestivum (bread wheat). RNAcentral's name for it is "partial small subunit ribosomal RNA". The record is from RNAcentral. Lineage: Eukaryota; Viridiplantae; Streptophyta; Magnoliopsida; Poales; Poaceae.
AUGGCUCUGUUUCAGAGUUUCCCGCUCGCUGGCGCCUCCUCGGAUCCCACGACCCUCCUCCAGAACCAGUGCUCACGCCACACCCUGUCCACCUGCUCGAUCGGCACCCCCCUCGUCUCCGGCAGCAGGAGGUACACGAACACCGUCAUGGCCGCCAGCCACGCCGCGAAGAAGAAGAAAAUCCCGGCCCUCAUGCGGCACAGCAUCGCCAGGAACGUCUGCGCCACGAACACCGUGAAUACGAAGCUCGUCGCCACCGUCACGCCCUGCCCCGCCGACCGCACCUCCAGCGGGAAGAUCUCGCUCGGCACCAGCCACCCCAGCGGCCCCCACGACCACCCGAACCCGGCCACGUACACCGCGAUCAGGAGGAUCAGCGCCGCCGCCCAUGUCUUGCUCACGCCGCCGUCGUCGCCCAGCUUCGCCGCCAUGAUGGCCCCGAUCAGCAGCUGCGACGCGAGCAUCUGCGCGCCGCCGGCUAGGAAGAGCGUGCGGCGGCCGAAACGGUCGACGAGGAACAUGGAGAGGAGGGUGGAGGCCGCGCCGACCACGCCCGUGACCACCGCGGACAGGAGCGACGCGCUCUCGCCCAUGCCGAUCGUGCGCAGCAGCACCGGCGCGUAG